This 253-nucleotide ribosomal RNA is filed under the name uncultured bacterium. RNAcentral describes it as "partial 16S ribosomal RNA". It matches the Rfam family "Bacterial small subunit ribosomal RNA", at positions 524 to 776 of the family's 1533-position model. The record is from RNAcentral.
UACGGGGGGGGCAAGCGUUGUUCGGAAUUACUGGGCGUAAAGGGCUCGUAGGCGGCCAACUAAGUCAGACGUGAGAUCCCUCGGCUUAACCGGGGAACUGCGUCUGAUACUGGAUGGCUUGAAUCCGGGAGAGGGAUGCGGAAUUCCAGGUGUAGCGGUGAAAUGCGUAGAUAUCUGGAGGAACACCGGUGGCGAAGGCGGCAUCCUGGACCGGCAUUGACGCUGAGGAGCGAAAGCCAGGGGAGCAAACGGG